AACGAACGCUGGCGGCAUGCCUAACACAUGCAAGUCGAACGAGACCUUUGGGUCUAGUGGCGCACGGGUGCGUAACGCGUGGGAAUCUGCCCUUGGGUUCGGAAUAACAGUGAGAAAUUGCUGCUAAUACCGGAUGAUGUCUUCGGACCAAAGAUUUAUCGCCCAGGGAUGAGCCCGCGUAGGAUUAGCUAGUUGGUGGGGUAAUGGCCUACCAAGGCGACGAUCCUUAGCUGGUCUGAGAGGAUGAUCAGCCACACUGGGACUGAGACACGGCCCAGACUCCUACGGGAGGCAGCAGUGGGGAAUAUUGGACAAUGGGCGCAAGCCUGAUCCAGCAAUGCCGCGUGAGUAAUGAAGGCCUUAGGGUUGUAAAGCUCUUUUACCAGGGAUGAUAAUGACAGUACCUGGAGAAUAAGCUCCGGCUAACUCCGUG
This 433-nucleotide ribosomal RNA is filed under the name uncultured bacterium. RNAcentral describes it as "partial 16S ribosomal RNA". It matches the Rfam family "Bacterial small subunit ribosomal RNA", at positions 29 to 507 of the family's 1533-position model. The record is from RNAcentral.